CACGUAGGGGGCGAGCGUUGUCCGGAUUUAUUGGGCGUAAAGAGCUCGUAGGCGGCUCAGUAAGUCGGGUGUGAAACCUCCAGGCUCAACCUGGAGACGCCACUCGAUACUGCCAUGGCUAGAGUCCGGUAGGGGACCACGGAAUUCCUGGUGUAGCGGUGAAAUGCGCAGAUAUCAGGAGGAACACCGGUGGCGAAGGCGGUGGUCUGGGCCGGCACUGACGCUGAGGAGCGAAAGCGUGGGUAGCAAACAGG
This 254-nucleotide ribosomal RNA is filed under the name uncultured bacterium. RNAcentral's name for it is "partial 16S ribosomal RNA". It matches the Rfam family "Bacterial small subunit ribosomal RNA", at positions 524 to 776 of the family's 1533-position model. The record is from RNAcentral.